AUUGAACGCUGGCGGCAGGCUUAACACAUGCAAGUCGAACGAGUGGCGGACGGGUGAGUAAUGCUUGGGAAUCUAGCUUAUGGAGGGGGAUAACUACGGGAAACUGUAGCUAAUACCGCGUACCAUAGGAUGAGCCCAAGUGGGAUUAGGUAGUUGGUGAGGUAAAGGCUCACCAAGCCGACGAUGUCUAGCUGGGGUGAGAGGAGGACCUGCCACGCUGGGACUGAUCCACGGCCCAGACUCGUACGGGAGGCAGCAGUGGGGAAUAUUGCGCAAUGGGGGCAACCUGGUGCAGCCAUGCCGCGUGAAUGAAGAAGGCCUUCGGUUUGUAAAGUUCUUUCGGUAGCGAGGCGUUAACUACAGAAGAAGCCCCGGCUAACUCAGUGCCAGCCGCCGCGGUAAUAC
RNAcentral lists this ribosomal RNA (405 nucleotides) under uncultured bacterium. RNAcentral describes it as "partial 16S ribosomal RNA". It matches the Rfam family "Bacterial small subunit ribosomal RNA", at positions 30 to 526 of the family's 1533-position model. The record is from RNAcentral.